Molecule: long non-coding RNA, 1158 nt
Organism: Mauremys mutica (yellowpond turtle)
Lineage: Eukaryota; Metazoa; Chordata; Testudines; Geoemydidae
Exons: 4
Source: RefSeq, a predicted model, not a curated record
UCAAGACAUCUGGGGCUCAUUAAGAUCCUUCUAGAAAGCAGUGGAGAUAGCUAGGUUGAUUGGGACACCUGAAGCCAAUCAAGGGCUGGCUGGAACUAGUUAAAAGCCCCCCAGUUGGUCAGUUAGGUGUGCAUGGCAAGAGCUGUAGGAGGAAGCCGUGCUGCUGGAGCCACUAGGCAGUAUGAACCCUAUCAGGCACAAGGAAGGAGGCCCUGAGUCAGGGGCUGAGGGGAUGAACAGCUCCACGUAUGGAUCAGGAGUGUCAACUGUAGAGUACCAAACAGAAGCUUUAAAGGAGAGGAUGUCAGAUAUACAAGAUAAGUGAAGACAGCAGAUCUGAUGCAUAGUAGGUAAUGGACUACAGACCUUCAACAAGAGAGGGAAUGGGGAAUGGCAUAAAGAAGGCCCUUGUCCCAUGGAAGAAGGAGACCGUCCCUAAUGAGUGCUGUCCGAGGCCAGCCCUGGAUCAAUAAUGUGGGUAUUUGCUCUUCAAAUAAGUAGCAAACAAGUUUAUUGUUGGUGUCCUCCACUGACAAAAUAUGCUGCAAAGUACUGUGGGGUUCACUUCCCACUCAUGGUCAUGUGAAAACUGCCUGUUGUGUUCGGUACUGAUAUUAGAACAUUGUGGCAAAUGCUUCAGUUCCAGAGCCUCCCUUUUGAUUUAUGUAGCACACAAUCUUCUCUGUCCACCCUGAGUUCAACAACGUUGAUGUGGAGAGUCACUAUUUUCCCUGAUUCAUGAGGUUGUUGAGGUGUGCAGUACAACCCAUGAGGGAUGUGUCUGUAGUGAGCAGAAAUGUCAAAGGAGGGCUGAGCGAACUGGACCCCUGUGCAAACAUUUACCGGGUCUUUGAUCCUGGAAGGCAUCAAGAGAGGGUUGUCUAACCUGUCUUUUUUUGGCCUAUAAACUGAGCUGAACCAUGUCUGCAGACACCUCAUCUCUAGUUUGGCAUGAAAUAUUACAAACAUACCAGCCACCAUGUGCCGCGGAAGCUGGAGGAACGUCUGGCCAAUGUUUAAGGGCUAGCUUGAACUGUCUAAGUGUGGACAGGCUGUGAAAUCUGUGUUGUGGAAGGAGCGCCCUCACUUGCAGUGAGUCGAGGUCGACCCCUAUGAACUCCAAACAUUGUACUGGAGCUAAGGUCGACUUUUGGACAU